UCUCUUUCUCAGGGCGGGGUGGAAGUCCCCACCGGCGGUAAUCCGUCCACGGACGGAAAGCCCGCGAGCGCUCCCGUAAUUUCGGGAGGUCAGCAGAUCCGGUGCGAAACCGGAGCCGACGGUCACAGUCCGGAUGGAAGAGAAAACGG
This 149-nucleotide non-coding RNA is filed under the name Desulfomicrobium orale. RNAcentral describes it as "FMN sequence". It matches the Rfam family "FMN riboswitch aptamer (RFN element)". Rfam says of the family: The RFN element is a highly conserved domain that is found frequently in the 5'-untranslated regions of prokaryotic mRNAs that encode for flavin mononucleotide (FMN) biosynthesis and transport proteins. This element is a metabolite-dependent riboswitch that directly binds FMN in the absence of proteins. Lineage: Bacteria; Pseudomonadati; Thermodesulfobacteriota; Desulfovibrionia; Desulfovibrionales; Desulfomicrobiaceae. The record is from RNAcentral.